This 465-nucleotide ribosomal RNA is filed under the name uncultured bacterium. Its description in RNAcentral is "partial 16S ribosomal RNA". It matches the Rfam family "Bacterial small subunit ribosomal RNA", at positions 28 to 507 of the family's 1533-position model. The record is from RNAcentral.
GAUGAACGCUGGCGGCGUGCUUAACGCAUGCAAGUCGAACGGAAAGGCUCCUGCUUGCAGGGGUACUCGAGUGGCGAACGGGUGAGUAACACGUGGGUGAUCUGCCCUGCACUUCGGGAUAAGCCUGGGAAACUGGGUCUAAUACCGGAUAGGACGAUGGUUUGGAUGCCAUUGUGGAAAGUUUUUCGGUGUGGGAUGAGCUCGCGGCCUAUCAGCUUGUUGGUGGGGUAAUGGCCUACCAAGGCGUCGACGGGUAGCCGGCCUGAGAGGGUGUACGGCCACAUUGGGACUGAGAUACGGCCCAGACUCCUACGGGAGGCAGCAGUGGGGAAUAUUGCACAAUGGGCGCAAGCCUGAUGCAGCGACGCCGCGUGGGGGAUGACGGCCUUCGGGUUGUAAACUCCUUUCGCUAGGGACGAAGCGCAAGUGACGGUACCUGGAGAAGAAGCACCGGCUAUCUACGUG